UGAUGGUCUGGGGAGGCAUAUCCCUGGAAGGACGCACAGACCUCUACAGGUUAGAUAACGGCACCCUGACUGCUAUUAGGUAUCGGGAUGAAAUCCUUGGACCCAUUGUCAGAACCUACGCUGGUGCAGUGGAACCUGGGUUCCUCCUGGUCCACGACAAUGCCCAACCUCAACGCCCAUAUAAGGAAGUCCAGGUUGCAUUGAUGUCAAUGGAACUCGGUGUUUAUAUAAAAAAAAAAAAAACUCUGUAAAACAGCGUGCAGAGCCGUCCAAAACUGCCUUCUCACUUCCAAAUGCGCAAACCUCAUUAUCUGAUGCGUUGGCAUCGUUUAACACGAGAAUAAAACAUUGUAACUACAUUUAUACUGCGAUUGGCUGGCGACCAGUCCAGGGUGUACCCCGCCUGUCGCCCAAAGUCAGCUGGGAUAGGCUCCAGCAUACCCCCGCGACCCUAAUGAGGAAAAAGCGGUAUAGAAAAUGGAUGGAUGGAUGGAACUACAUUUAUAGGUCAAAAAAGAGGAAAAGCAUAAAAGGUCCCCUUCAAAAGUAAAGUUAAAAUCUUGUCCGUCCUCGUUCUCGUAGACUCAAUCUCGUUAAUUGUCUCAUCUUGUGAACUGAGUGUCUCGUGACACCCCUAAUUAAUACACUACACACUUCCAGACUUAUGAUAUUGUCAAAAAAAAUUUUAGAAAAUGGGACCUGGAAAGGCGCCUCUUGCAGAGCUUCCAUAUUUGCUCCCUUUCCUCUUGAGUGAGAAAUGCAGACAGUCUCUCCGGCUCAACACAUUGAAUCUGACAGGGACAGCCAGAGACUGGAGUUAAAAUCAGAUCAUGGAGAAGAAAGCACAUUUGUGACUCACGGUUUUAGCGCCAAGCACGUGGGCGAUGAUGUAGUGGCUGGAGAGGUCAGGUUCUGUGACUCUUUUCACCUCAAAGUGUUUCUUCCAAAUAUCUGCCGCCUGUCUUGCUGUUAUCCUGGAUGCAGGAGACGCCUCGGUACUGCAUGGAUGCACUGCACACGAGCCCCAAAUUUCCUAAAAGUAAUAGGUUCAAGAAUGUUUAAUGUAUCAGUGUGUGGCAACCAUCCUUGCAAAUUCAUUCAUUCAUUCAUUCUUCAUUUAUGUAACUGGGUGAUACAGUAGGGUUAUAAAAUGUACACAAUACACUCCAAUGCAUAAUUGGUAAUGGUAUACUGUACUGUACUACUUUAUGCUAAAAGGUGUUUUGUAAAUGGACAGUGACACAGAAGGUUAAAAAUUAGGACGCAAACAAUUGUUAAAUGUGAUAGUUCUUACACAUUAAAGCAUCACUAACAACAAAGUAUAUCGCUCUCAUAUUCGUAAACGCAAGUCAAGUGACACUUACCUUAAAUCCGCGACUCCUCCCCACUAAAUAUGUAUUUACUGCAGUCACUGGCUUCUUCCACAUUUCAACCCACACAGUCGUGAUAAAGGAAACGCACUUGGUCACGUAUACGAACAUUAAAGCUCAUUUUUAAUCCCCAUUGUGGAGUUUAUUUGACAUUGCUGUUUGUGGGAAGCGGCGUUGUCGCUCGCCAUGGCGCAGUAGCUAACAUCUCCAACGUCCACGUGUGACGUCGUCGAAGUUUUGCGCAAACUCUGCGCAAGAUUGACUCUGUUGAGGAAGGGUGCAUUUAAGGUUAAUGGGGAAAAUUUGGAUUUCACUGACACGAGACGUACAAACAACUGUAAAACAACCACGAUCAGCUUUGAACAGUACUAGAUAGAAUUACACCAAAAUUUAUAUUGCAUAGGUGGGUUUAUAAAUGAAGUAAAAAUACUGGUGUAGAGUUGAUAUUGUCUUCUGCGAGGUGUUGUAAACGCAUCAGUUCUGUUUUCCAGCAAGGCGAGGCGUGACUGGAAAAUGUGUGAUAAGUCACUGGAAGGCAACGUUAGAAACGUUAGAAAAAUACUGCUUCACUUUUAUCAUCGUGGGGUUUUAUGUCGCUGCAAAACUUGCCCUUUUUGUCAAGGUUUUUUUUUUUUUUUUGUAAAAACGGGAAGUUAGCUGCUAGCUUAAGAAAGGCAGCCAACCGAGACCAAAUAGUUUGUUUUGGUCAUACUCAAUAAACGCCUUGGGAAACUCGGUGAUGGGCAUGGACACUCGACUAGAAUGCAUCUUCUUUAGCGAAUUUCACCCUACUUUGGGUCCCAAAAUAACAUAUCAGGUCCCGGAAGAAUACAUUUCAAGGGAACUCUUUGACACCGUUCAGGUUUAUAUUAUCACCAAACCAGAGCUGCAGAACAAAUUAAUAACAGUCACUGCCAUGGGCAAGAAGUUAAUCGGGUGUCCGGUGUGCAUUGAACACAAGAAGUACAGCCGCAACGCCCUCCUGUUUAACCUUGGGUUUGUUUGUGAUGCACAAGCUAACACCUGUGUCCUGGAGCCAAUUGUCAAGAAGCUCUCGGGUUAUCUCACCACUCUGGAGCUGGAGAGUGGCUUCAUCUCCAAAGAGGAGAGCAAACAGAAGCUUCUGCCUAUCAUGUCCACCUUGUUAGAAGAGCUCAACGCGACCGGAGCCUGUACCUUACCCAUAGACGAAUCGAACACCAUCCACCUGAAGCUGAUCCCACUGCGAAAGGACCCGCUGGUCGUCCAGGAGUAUGAUGUGCCGGUCUUCACCCAGAGCAAAGACCACUUCAUUACAUCUCAAUGGGACCUCACCACUCAGCAGAUUCUGCCCUACAUUGACGGCUUUCGACACGUCCAGAAAAUCUCAGCCGAAGCAGACGUGGAGUUGAAUAUCGUUCGUAUUGCUGUGCAGAACCUCCUGUAUUAUGAUUUGGUGACCUUGGUGUCCAUAUUCCAGUACUCCAACGUGUACUGCACCACCCCCAAAGUGCAGAGCCUGAUAGAUGACAAGCUCAUCCAGGAGGACUGUCUCGCCUACGUCACCAAGCAAGGCCAAAAGCGUCCAAGUCUGAGAGACGUGUUCCAGUUGUACUGUGGUCUGAGUCCGGGAACCACGGUGCGAGACCUUUGUUCCCGCUACUCGCAGCAGCUGCAGAGAGUGGACGAGAGGUCAGCGGCGCCCGUCUCACGCACGAGGAAAACAAACAACGACACAUUUGACGGACGAGGUCAGGCGGGGGUUAGAAGUAUCCCGUCAAGGUGAUACGUGACGAGAAGAGCAGGCCACCUCGCCUGUACACGGGUUGUCACAGUUACGAUGAGAUCUGCUGCAAGACAGGGAUCAGCUACAAGGAGCUGGAUGAACGUUUGGAAAAUGAUCCCAACAUUGUGGUGUGCUGGAAGUGACGUCGCGUGCGGUUAAAACUGCUUGAUUGACACAUCCAGAGAUGUAUGUGGUGGCCAAGGGAAUGGUCAGCAGGAGCUUUUCAACACAGAUGCACGAUAUCUUUUUUUUUUUUUUUUCCUUUUUCCCAAAACUGACACCAGUAACUUUCUGCUUCUCAAGACCGAUAUGGUACUGAUAACCGAUAAUGUUGUUUUGAUUUAACUGUGGUUUGUGCACACCGGGCACCUGUAGGUACGAAGGACUCAAACAAAUUAGGAUGUGACCAACUGUACCCGCUGAUUUGUCCUAAUGAAAUAUCAUGACAUUACUACUACCACAUCGCUACUAUCAGGAGAACCAGCGUAUAGAGCGGAGGGAGCCACCUGCUGUGGCCCAGCAAGGUGCACUGUAUUCAGGCACACGCUCCAAGCAGCCAGUGUGCCGCUAUGGCGGUCAGGGGAACCGGAGUAUAGAGCGAGAGGAGCCACCUGGCGUGGCCCAGCAAGAUGCACAGUAUUAGGGCACAGGCUUCGAGCAGCCGGUGUGACGCCACGGAGGAGUCUGGCAAACCUUAAGGUUUUUUGUGUGGGGGGGCCCCCCCCUUCCGCCCCAAUUCGCAUGUAAAAUGUCUUCGUCGGAAAGUGAGUGGCCGUUUACAAGUGAGCUCUGGGGAAGUUACGACGGUCCCUUGACGUCACAGGCAGGAGAAAAAAGGAGUGUUUGAUUUACUCACCCGCACAGUACGGGUGAUCUCGCCUCGUUUGAGUGGUUUUGGGUUGUUGUUUUUUUAAAUUAUCGGUUGUCUUAGUUAUUUUUAAUGUUAUCGGAUUUAUCGGUUUGACGUCCUAAUUCCCUCAUAUCGGCCUGAUCAUUGUCGCGCACCCCUAC
Molecule: RNA transcript, 4146 nt
Organism: Dunckerocampus dactyliophorus (ringed pipefish)
Lineage: Eukaryota; Metazoa; Chordata; Actinopteri; Syngnathiformes; Syngnathidae
Gene: nprl2
Gene name: NPR2 like, GATOR1 complex subunit
Exons: 11
Source: RefSeq, a predicted model, not a curated record